GGGGCUGUAACUCAGAUGGUAGAGUGCUUGCCUAGGAAACAUGAGGCCCUGGUUUGAUUCCCAGCACCA
RNAcentral lists this transfer RNA (69 nucleotides) under Rattus norvegicus (Norway rat). It matches the Rfam family "tRNA". From Rfam's summary of the family: Transfer RNA (tRNA) molecules are approximately 80 nucleotides in length. Their secondary structure includes four short double-helical elements and three loops (D, anti-codon, and T loops). Lineage: Eukaryota; Metazoa; Chordata; Mammalia; Rodentia; Muridae. The record is from Rfam by way of RNAcentral.